AAUAAUAUAUUUUUUUAAUCAACUUAAUGCUUGUCAUAAUAUAAAAUUCCAUCAAGAUCUGAAAUUAUGAUCUUCUAGUUACCUCACAACCAGAUGAGGCUUAUACUGGAAUCAUUUUGAGACACAAAUUGUAGCUUUUUUCUAAUAUCUGAUAUUUUUUGUACAUAAUAAUCUUUGAGACUCUGUUUUGAAUGUAAAUAACCAUUUGCUUUUCUACAAAUAGCUGACAUAAUAUAUAAAUAUUCUCCUAUUUCUUGAUGAAUUUUUUGUUUCUGCAAGAGAAAUAUUUUUUUCACCUCUUGCAGAAGCAAAAAUAGAAAUUAAAAGAAAAUUUAUUGACAUCAAUAUAGUAUAUACUUUAUUCAGGGCACAGACAAGAAAUGUUUUAUUGUUAUAUAGAUUUACAUAUUACCAUUUUCUGUCAGGGAUUUUUAAGAUGACAUGUUGUUUAUAGUCGUAUAUAUUACCUAUGUUAGGUUUCACCUUCAUAGAAAUAUGACACUAACAGGGCUUGUUUUUGCUUAAUGUUAAGUAAAUCUGUAUUUAGCAAAAGUCACCUUUUGUGAUUUUUGUUUUAGCUUGAAACCACUUGAUUUAUUUAAGCAUAAAGAAAGCAUAAUGUAAGUGGAUUAAUAUUACGUAGUUUUUUCCCAUCCAUGAUAAAAACUGCUUUAAAUACUUGUGUCCUUUGUCUUAUUGGUUUGUCAUAAGUUAAGUAGGUCAAGGUCACUUGGUAGUAGGUCAAUGUCUUUUGGUAUUGAAUUAGGUUAAGAUCAGAGGUUGUACAGUUUUUAAGACCCAGUGUAAUCAACAGAGCAGAUAGUCAUACUAUAGCAUGAACCUAGCACUUGUGAAAUUGAAAUAUAUGCACAGCAUAGGGCUUGUUCACAAUCAUGAUUUGGUUUUUAAGCUACUCUAAUUUCUGCAUAAGUUCAGCUUGUAAAUUUGCAAUCGUUUCAUCUACUGUGUUCAAAUCAUAAGUACAUCACAUUAUGUUGUAUUUUCAAGCACUUUAUUAGGACAUACUGAAAUAUGGCCUUGACCUCAAAAUGACAUUGACCUUUCAAGGUCAAAUUUUCAAAGAGUCAAUCAAUUUUGCACAUGGAUUAUGGGUAUAAGUUUUUGUUAUUGUGCAAACAGUUUCUUUAUUCUGUUACAUUGUUUAUAAUUUAUAGAAAGAGUGCCAGAUGCCAUAUUUAUAGAGUGUCAUAUUAAGAUGUAAUAUGCUUCCAACAUAUUUUUUUGUUACUGAUUAAAAAAAAGACACACUUGUAAUGUUUCUUAAACAAUAACAAUCUGACCAUAUCAAAACAGUUGAAGGGUAUAUGUUUCAUUGUGCAUUAUUUUAAUAGACAAGCAUUAACACCACAUGCAGUGCUCUUGUUCCAAGAUUUUUAGGGCAAGUGACUUUUAAUUUAUUUUCUUCCUUUUUUUUAACAGUGAAAUUAACUUUAUUCUUGGAAUUUUGAAAUUCUGUUCACUACAAUUACAUGUAUAUAACUUAUCUUUGGUGAAGGUGAAAUUCAUGUUUUUCAAAUUUUGGUUCAAGGUAGAUAAUACUGGCAUUAGAUUAUUCCCCUUGCUGUAAGGAAUAUUAUACCAAUAUAUGAAGUUAUUCCCCUUGGUUCAAUGUAGAAAAUACUGGUAUAAAAUUAUUCCCCUUGCUUUAAGGAAGAUAUACUACAAAUAUUAAGUAAUUCCCCUUCCCCUCCUCAAGGCAGAUAGUACUGAUAUUCGUUAUUCCCCUUGAUUAAAGGAACAUAUACAAAUAUUCAGCUAUUUCUUUUAAAGAAGAUACAUUUGUAUUAGAUUAAUCCCCUUGAUACAAGUUUGAUAUACAGGUAUUGGGUUAUUCCCCUUGGUUCACCUUAAAGGUACGGGUAUAAGGUUGUUUUCAUUAAAUAUUUAUAAUGAUUUGUCAUUUGAAACUGUGUUAAAUCUGCCAUAGCUAGGUAUUUGAUAACAUUUAUACAUGUAUCAAUAGAAUUUGUAAACACAAAAAGUGUUUUUGAAAAUUUGUUCAGGAAUUAUUGGAUUAUAUUAAAGAAAACAGUAUUGGUUUUAUAUUUUAGAACAUAUGCACACUAGUCAGGACAGGGGUUGUAACUCUUCAGGUCCUUGUAGUGUCUCAGAUUUAUAUUAUAAACAGAUUUACGGAAGUUGUUAAAUUGUUGUUGAAAUUUUUUUUAUUUCUCAAUAAAAGUGGUAGAAAAUAAU
Long non-coding RNA from Ruditapes philippinarum (Manila clam), 2217 nucleotides. RefSeq lists it as uncharacterized. The record is from RefSeq and is a predicted model, not a curated record. NCBI's taxonomy places the organism in Eukaryota, Metazoa, Mollusca, Bivalvia, Venerida, Veneridae. The transcript has 2 exons.